This 234-nucleotide long non-coding RNA is filed under the name Phoenix dactylifera (date palm). RNAcentral describes it as "long non-coding RNA (PDAC_LNC018690)". Lineage: Eukaryota; Viridiplantae; Streptophyta; Magnoliopsida; Arecales; Arecaceae. The record is from RNAcentral.
UUGUGAGCCUGGAAAACAAUCCAACUGUAAUCCGCGAGAUUAUAGUGAAUUUCCAAGGGGUCGCUUGGGGAGUGGACGUAGGUGCUAAGGAGAGCACCGAACCACUAUACUUUGUGUUGUUUGUGUUGUGAUUUGCUUUAGCUUACUAACCAUCCAUUUGACUUGAGUAAGAUAGUUUAAAUUUAAAAGAAACCAAUUCACCCCCCCUCUUGGCUUGUCACCUUGGGCAACAAA